CUCCAGGUGAGUGUAAAUAGCUGCUCCUUGUUGGACUCCAGGUGAGUGUAAAUGGCUGCUGAUUGUUGGACUCCAGGUGAGGGUAAAUGGCUGCUGAUUGCUGGACUCCAGGUGAGUGUAAAUGGUUGCUGAUUGUUGGACUCCAGGUGAGUGUAAAUGGUUGCUGAUUGUUGGACUCCAGGUGAGGGUAAAUGGUUGCUGAUUGCUGGACUCCAGGUGAGGGUAAAUGGUUGCUGAUUGCUGGACUCCAGGUGAGUGUAAAUGGAAGCGUGUCGGAACCAGAAAGAAGAAGAAUGGUUCUCGGUGCACCUGCCUACUUCCCACGCGUCCGGACUUCAAAUUGCUUUGAGCGCCUGUACCAGCUGUCUUCUGCCUGGGGAUUGGGUCGGGAUCCCUCCAUGGCUGUGGGUGUCCCUCCAGCUACCUCUCCCUGUC
Oncorhynchus tshawytscha (Chinook salmon) is the source of this 435-nucleotide long non-coding RNA. Lineage: Eukaryota; Metazoa; Chordata; Actinopteri; Salmoniformes; Salmonidae. The record is from Ensembl.